Molecule: long non-coding RNA, 120 nt
Filed under: Anolis carolinensis (green anole)
Lineage: Eukaryota; Metazoa; Chordata; Lepidosauria; Squamata; Anolidae
Description: lncRNA (ENSACAG00000033744.2)
Source: RNAcentral
ACAGUAAAGAAGGCAAAAGAAAAGAAAACAACAAAUAGACUCAAUCUUGGAAAUUUGGGGAGUUGUCCAAUGAAAAAACAAAUCCUACACAGGGACAUAUUUGCUCUAAUUCCAUAAUUU